This is a long non-coding RNA of Vespa velutina, 2418 nucleotides long. RefSeq lists it as uncharacterized. The transcript has 2 exons. The record is from RefSeq and is a predicted model, not a curated record. NCBI's taxonomy places the organism in Eukaryota, Metazoa, Arthropoda, Insecta, Hymenoptera, Vespidae.
AUUAACCUCGUAGAAAAUUGAUCAAGAAGGAGAGGCGAGUCGCGAAAAGGCGAAUGCCGUGGAAAGUGUUGGCGUAUCUAUAGAAAAAAGUCUUCCCUCUACUACGUCACCCGUAUGGGAGUAUUUGAAUUGCGAAAUAAUGAACGUUUAAACGACUAUUGUUUAAUUCCUGUAUAGGAAUAAUAGUUAAUGUAAAAUUUAAUAAAAGGAAAACGCACUGCAUAGUGCAAUUCCGACUGGGUAGAUUUUGAAAAGUAUCUCAGCGAGAUAAAAAUCGAAAAGAUAUAUAUAUCCUUACGCGAUGGUCUCUAAGAUAAAAUAUAAACGAGGUAUCGUUCCUGAAGCGACAGAAACAAAAAAUCGAAAGGUUGGUCUCCGUUUGACAGGAGCUGUCACAAGCGAGCGUUGAGUAGAACAAAGGACGCUCAACAGAUUAUGGGAGAGGCUAGCGAAAUACUUGGACUAAACGACACAAUGGUUAUAAAAUUAUAGCGAUAAGGAAAGCGAACAUCGAAAUCGUUAGUGACGUAGUUUUAAGGUAGUCUACAAGAUAGACCAAAAGUGGAGGAGCAGUGUUAACGAGAGCACCGCAAGAGAGAGAGAGAGAGAGAGAGAGAGAGAGAGAAAGAAAGAAAGACAGAAAAAGAGAGAGAGAGAGAGAGACUUUUCUUCGUUCGUCACCAUCUCGCUCUUUCUCUCUCUUUCUAUCUCUUUCUUUCUUUCUUCGCGUAAUACGUUGCGAGACACAAACCGUGUACGAGAGGGCGACAAUCGGACGAAACAGCUGUUGGUGGCGUUGAGAAGAAACGACGAAACGUCAUUAGCGUGCGAGUGAGAGGUACUACGCCAUCAUAGUUACGGAUUUACGUGAAAAUCCGUGAAAAUGUUUAGUGGUGGGGCAUGACACGUAAAUUUCGCGAAACCUCGUUUGCAAAAAUUCUCGCAUACGUAAGGACGCGACGAUCUCAACGUUUCGCGAUGCAGACUUGAAGAGGAAAAAGACAAGUUGAAAGCAAAGAGAGACAGAACGAAUGGAAGGAAAGGGGGCGCUGAGGGACGUGGAGGAAGAAGGCGGAGGAGGAGGAGAAGGAAGAGAGAGAGAGAGGAGAGAGCGAGAGAGGGAGAGAAAAAGAGGGGGAAAGAGAGAGAGAGAGAGAGAGAGAGGGAAAGAGUGAGAAAGAGAGGGAGGGUGGGAAUAGUAGGAGGGAGAAGUGGACGUAGAAAUAGAGAAAGAAAGGACAUUCGCUGCCACAGCUUGCCAUCCCUUUCUAACUUACGAUAGUCACACAGUCUCUCUUUCGAUCUAUCGAGAGACAGACUUUUAUGUCGAUUUUACAACUCCCCUUGGCACGUUUUAACUUUCGAAAAAUGUACAAGGAUAGGACUGACAUUGAAUAAGAAUACCGUCCACGAACAAGAAUGAUUCACGAAUAGAGUCCGAUUGAACGGGGGGAAAGUCUUCUGAAAUAUGAAAAGACUUGAGAUAGAUUGAUACUUCGUUUCUCGUUUUCUUUCCAUCUCUUUCUAUUUCCUUCAAACAUCAAGCACAGAAAAAGAAUUUGUUGCAUACGUCACAUAAGAUCGAAUUGUUCGAUUAACGUAGUAGCCAUUCGAUAUCCUAGGAAUGUUUUUAAGAUAUCGAAAGAACAGUCGCUUUAACCUUAAUUUUGUUCUACGAGGAAUAAUCACUUCUUUUUCAACGGAGCUCGUGCGUCGACAAUUAUCGCGUCUUCCCACAUAGCGCUCGCCGAUUCUCGAUUAGUCGCCUUCCCGAAAUUUGGUCGAACGCGCAACUCGAGCGCGCAGGAACGGACAUUACACGCUAUGACUACCAGAGGGACCUCGAGCGAAGUGAGGAACGAAGGGAGGGGAAGGAAUUGUCAGAGCGCAUGUCGAGGAGACGCGGAUUUACUCUUUAUAAAUACGUAAAACGCGUCUUUUUUAGUAUUGGUCAGUAUCGACGCGCCCUUCGUUUUAUUAUUGAUGUUUGCCCACGUAACGACGAUCUUACUUAAUACAUCAUACUCAACUUCAUACAUUUUUUUUGAAUAUGUCAAUUUCAUAACAUUAUACGUAUUUGAGUUACGCGUUGAUUUUUAUAUUUACCGCUUUGCCCCAAAAAUUGUUUUAGUUACUCGCGUUUACAGUUCUACCAAUCACGCCAAACAAAUAUCCCUGUAAAACCGAUCGAAGAUCAUAUUUCUUAUAUGUAAAAGAAAAUUUGUUUGAAUCAAUUCAUGUGUUGUAAUAAAUUUGAAAAAAUCGUUUAAGAGAAUCGUCAUUUCAAUAUCUUUACUAAUUAUACUUAGAUCAUAAUUACAUGGUAAUACGUCGCUUUCAACAAUUUAUGCAUAUAAACUGUAUAUUGUAUAUUUAAAAAAGAGGCAUAUAUGUAUAUUAUAAUAGUCAUUUUAUCAU